RNAcentral lists this ribosomal RNA (253 nucleotides) under uncultured bacterium. RNAcentral describes it as "partial 16S ribosomal RNA". It matches the Rfam family "Bacterial small subunit ribosomal RNA", at positions 524 to 776 of the family's 1533-position model. The record is from RNAcentral.
GACAGAGGGUGCAAACGUUGCUCGGAAUUACUGGGCGUAAAGCGCGUGUAGGCGGACCUUCAAGUCGGACGUGAAAGCCCUAAGCUCAACUUAGGAACUGCAUCCGAAACUGAAGGCCUAGAGUAGUGGAGAGGAAAGCAGAAUUCCUGGUGUAGAGGUGAAAUUCGUAGAUAUCAGGAGGAACACCGGUGGCGAAGGCGGCUUUCUGGACACUUACUGACGCUGAGACGCGAAAGCGUGGGGAGCAAACAGG